GUGCUCUUCCUCUAAAACAACUCAUCCCCGUCUCUUCAAACUAUCUCUCUCUCUCUCUUUCUCCAUAUUAGUUUUUCUUUGUUUUGUUAAAGGUAAGAGAAAGAUUUUAGAUUUUUUUCCUUGGUUAAAACUGUUUGAUUUUUAAGGAUUUGAAGAGACUUAAUGGUAAGUAAACUAUAAGUUUUGCUGGAUGAUUAUAAACAAUGGGUACAAGUUGUUUUGUUCAUUUGUUUAAGAAUUUGAUUGAAUUGUUUUUCUCCCCCUUUUUCUUUAAUAACAAAUUUUGGUUAAGAUUUGAAUCAAAUUUAGUUCUUGAUAAUAAAUGUAAAUGAAAUUGGGACUUAUGUAUGUACUUUGUUUCUAAAAAUACAUCUUCCAUUGAUUACUGCUGAUAGGAAGUUCAAAUUAAUGUUAUAAUCAUUGAAUUUUAUUCAUUUGUGGACAUACUUUUCUUUCUCACCAUUUUUCUCAAUUCAUUGACUCUGCAUCUUUGUUAGGCGGAUUUGAAAAUUCCCAAAGAGAAAGAAUUCUAUGAAGAAGAUGAAGAGGAAGAAAUUGGAGCUGAAGGAAGCAGAUUGUAUGUGGGUAAUCUUUCGUAUAAUAUGAGUUCGUCAUAACUCACUGAGAUUUUCAGUGAAGCUGGCAAAGUUACUUCUGUUGAGUUUUUUUUCUUUACCCAAUUCACCCAUUUUUAUUAAUUUUUAUUAUUUUCGUAUUUUUGUGAUUAAAGGGUAUGGUUUUUACUUGCAGAUAAUUUAUGAUAGAUUAACCAAAUAGAAGCAGAGGAUUUGCUAUAAUAAUAAUGCAGAUGUGGAUGAGGCUAAAGAGGCCAUUCGUAUGUUCAGUGGAGCU
Molecule: long non-coding RNA, 852 nt
Filed under: Aquilegia coerulea
Lineage: Eukaryota; Viridiplantae; Streptophyta; Magnoliopsida; Ranunculales; Ranunculaceae
Description: long non-coding RNA (ACOE_LNC002059)
Source: RNAcentral